UUUUUGCAUCUGGGAUUUUAAAACUACUUCAUAUAAGGUCUGUGUUUCGUGUAGACUUACCCUGGGGUGACGUUUUGAUAGCCAUGUAAUUCUCUCUCGGAUAAGUAUCCCGUGUGUAUCAUGAAUGGACCACCACCCAAAUGACAUCCAACUUGACACAACUGUGGGAAGCAUUGGAGUCAACAUGGGCCAGUAUCCCUGUGGAACACUUGACACCUUGUAGAGUCAAUAUCCCUACCAAUUGAGGCUGUACUGUGAGCAAAAGGAAACAGGAGCCGAAGAUUGCAACAUAUAUUAUGUAUUAUUGCUUCCAUCUGUCACAUGCACUUAUGUUUUGUUAUUAUUAAUACAAAAAAAUAAAAUAAAUUACAGCUUUAAAACUGUCAGUGAUGAUUUUCAAAGUAGUCCAAC
Molecule: long non-coding RNA, 411 nt
Organism: Oncorhynchus keta (chum salmon)
Lineage: Eukaryota; Metazoa; Chordata; Actinopteri; Salmoniformes; Salmonidae
Exons: 3
Source: RefSeq, a predicted model, not a curated record